Molecule: ribosomal RNA, 248 nt
Filed under: uncultured Actinomycetales bacterium
Lineage: Bacteria; Bacillati; Actinomycetota; Actinomycetes; Actinomycetales
Description: partial 16S ribosomal RNA
Rfam family: Bacterial small subunit ribosomal RNA
Source: RNAcentral
CAGGGUACUCGAGUGGCGAACGGGUGAGUAACACGUGGGUGAUCUGCCCUGCACUUCGGGAUAAGCUUGGGAAACUGGGUCUAAUACCGGAUAGGAGCCAUCUUUAGUGUGGUGGUUGGAAAGUUUUUUCGGUGUAGGAUGAGCUCGCGGCCUAUCAGCUUGUUGGUGGGGUAAUGGCCUACCAAGGCGGCGACGGGUAGCCGGCCUGAGAGGGUGUACGGCCACAUUGGGACUGAGAUACGGCCCAG